Molecule: long non-coding RNA, 594 nt
Organism: Heterocephalus glaber (naked mole-rat)
Lineage: Eukaryota; Metazoa; Chordata; Mammalia; Rodentia; Bathyergidae
Source: RefSeq, a predicted model, not a curated record
CACCUCCAGCCUCUGCACCAGGGCGCUCGGGUCUAUCUGGGUCCCGGCAAAGACGUUGGUGUGGAUGAACCCCCAGUCCUGCAAGGCCCAGUGGAAAGGAGAGAAAGGUGACAUCAGGCUGGCUCCGUGGCUUCAGGAGAUGGGAGGCCAGUGGUCCAGCACAGGGAGGACAUACAAGACACGGAUCACCAGAGACCACAGCAUCAAGCCCAAGAGGGGACCUUUCUGACCACCCCAAAUAUGCUGCUCCUGAUGGAAAGAUGAUUUCGGGCUAAAGGGACCUGAACUAACAGCAGGUGCCAGAAGAACUAACAGCAGGUGCUGUGACUGCCCCAUUCUGAAAGCAGGAGAGGAGACCCCAGGGGAGUCGUCUCCCUCUGCCUCCUCUGCGCGCACGGGUCAGAAGAGCCCGGAAACCCUGCACAGACAGAUGCUGUAAAGACAGCCCGUCUCUCCGAGGAUUUAUGCUUAACAUAAAAGACACACCGGCGCGAUGUUGUGUGUCUCUCAAAUAUUACAAUAUUACUAGAUUAAAAAUCCGAACUUCUGCUUUCUUCUCUAUCCACAUUAAACUUCAAUUUUUCAUACUUUCAA